RNAcentral lists this ribosomal RNA (590 nucleotides) under Alteromonas sp. AmSamW43ii. Its description in RNAcentral is "bacterial SSU rRNA". It matches the Rfam family "Bacterial small subunit ribosomal RNA", at positions 86 to 678 of the family's 1533-position model. The record is from RNAcentral. Lineage: Bacteria; Pseudomonadati; Pseudomonadota; Gammaproteobacteria; Alteromonadales; Alteromonadaceae.
GAUGACCGAGUGGCGGACGGGUGAGUAAUGCUUGGGAACUUGCCUUUGCGAGGGGGAUAACAGUUGGAAACGACUGCUAAUACCGCAUAAUGUCUUCGGACCAAACGGGGCUUCGGCUCCGGCGCAAAGAGAGGCCCAAGUGAGAUUAGCUAGUUGGUAAGGUAACGGCUUACCAAGGCGACGAUCUCUAGCUGUUCUGAGAGGAAGAUCAGCCACACUGGGACUGAGACACGGCCCAGACUCCUACGGGAGGCAGCAGUGGGGAAUAUUGCACAAUGGGGGAAACCCUGAUGCAGCCAUGCCGCGUGUGUGAAGAAGGCCUUCGGGUUGUAAAGCACUUUCAGUUGUGAGGAAAAGUUAGUAGUUAAUACCUGCUAGCCGUGACGUUAACAACAGAAGAAGCACCGGCUAACUCCGUGCCAGCAGCCGCGGUAAUACGGAGGGUGCGAGCGUUAAUCGGAAUUACUGGGCGUAAAGCGCACGCAGGCGGUUUGUUAAGCUAGAUGUGAAAGCCCCGGGCUCAACCUGGGAUGGUCAUUUAGAACUGGCAGACUAGAGUCUUGGAGAGGGGAGUGGAAUUCCAGGUGUAG